CACCAAUCCAACCAACCAUUGGCCAUUGCAGAGAAGAGAUUACUUUAAGAAUGGGCUACUCGAAGCGCAUUGCACUGGUACUUGUAGCGGCUGUUGUAGCGCUCCACGUCCAUGUCCCGAUGGCCACAGCAGCGAACUCCAACCUCUUCCGGGACUACAUCGGCGCCAUCUUCAACGGCGUCAAGUUCACCGACGUCCCCAUCAACCCGAGGGUCCGCUUCGACUACAUCCUCGCCUUCGUGAUCGACUACACCACCGCGACGGAGCCGCCCACCCCGACCAACGGCCAGUUCAACAUCUUCUGGCAGGACUCGGUGCUGACGGCGUCCGCGGUGGCCGCCAUCAAGCAGAGCAACCCGAACGUGCGGGUGGCCGUCAGCAUCGGCGGCGCCACCGUGAACGACCGCCCUGUGUUCUUCAACAUCACCUCCGUCGACUCCUGGGUCCAGAACGCCGUCUCCUCCCUGACCACCAUCAUCCAGAAGUACAACCUGGACGGCAUCGACAUCGACUACGAGCAGUUCCAGGCCGACCCGGCCACCUUCGCCGAGUGCAUCGGCCGCCUGGUCACCACGCUCAAGAGCAACGGGGUGAUCAGCUUCGCGUCCAUCGCCCCGUUCGACAACGCCGACGUGCAGCGCCAUUACCAGGCCCUGUGGGCGACCUACGGAAGCGUCAUAGACUACGUCAACUUCCAGUUCUACGCCUACGGCGCCAGCACGACCGAGGCGCAGUACGUCGACUUCUUCAACCAGCAGCUUGUCAACUACCCCGGCGGCAACAUCCUGGCCAGCUUCACCACGGCGCCCACCACCACGUCGGUGCCCAUCAACACGUCGCUCAGCGCUUGCCAGACAUUGCAGUCGCAGGGCAAGCUCUACGGGAUCUUCAUCUGGGCAGCCGACCAUUCCAGGAGCCAAGGCUUCAAGUACGACACACAAGCACAAGCACUGCUCGCCAACGCCCCUGCUGGCUACUAGUAGAUGGCUACCAUACCUUCAAUGCGUUUAAGUUGGAUUUGGAUUUCAUUUUCAGGUGAACAAAUAAUAUUAUUAUGUAUGGAAUAAGGCUGUCAUUGGAAUAUAAUACGGGGCUAUUUCUAUAUUCCUGUGUUCUCUAUAAAAAUUAAACAAUUCUUAUAAGAUUCAUGUGUGUCGGAAUUGAUGGGAGGCAUUGGUGAAG
RNAcentral lists this unclassified non-coding RNA (1182 nucleotides) under Zea mays. Its description in RNAcentral is "misc RNA Zm00001eb047950". Lineage: Eukaryota; Viridiplantae; Streptophyta; Magnoliopsida; Poales; Poaceae. The record is from RNAcentral.